Molecule: long non-coding RNA, 1125 nt
Organism: Ricinus communis (castor bean)
Lineage: Eukaryota; Viridiplantae; Streptophyta; Magnoliopsida; Malpighiales; Euphorbiaceae
Exons: 2
Source: RefSeq, a predicted model, not a curated record
UAACACAUUUGUUAAUUGAGGGCCUCAAUUACACCAAAUCGCUCAAUUGGAGGGCUUAAUUCCACAAUCUUAAACUUGGAAGAACCUACAUACAAGAGAAACCAACAAGCUGAGGGGCUCAAUUAUGAAUUUUGCCUAGAAAAUUUGGAAGAAGUUUGUAACCGGAGUGGGUAGAUUAUUGGUCUCUCUCUCACGUAACCAUAUAAUAUGAAAGGUGACACGUAUGGUGUGACUUCGUUCCCUGCAGUUAGCCUCCAACACCUCCUCCAUUCAUUUCUUGUUUUCUUUCGUCUCCUUCCCUUUCCAACAAAAACCAUCAGGAUUUUUAUCAUAAAAGAGUGAAGAAGUAGCUAGCCGGACGUUCUCAAAUUCCAAAAGCCAAAAUGGGUUAUGUAAUAGUGGUAUCAUUGCCGUUAGUUCUGUUUAUCUUAGUUGUAGCACUUUUAUGUUAUAUUCUUGGUAGGAAUUGGGGCAGAAGAGAAGCAGCUCGAAUGCCUUCAUAUUAUGGGCCACCUGCCCCUCCUCCUCAAGCCCAAUUUCCACCUCAUCAGGACAAACAAUCUCAGGUUUAGUUUUGUUCAUUCCCUACAUAGAAAUCUUUUGUCCUCGAAAGCACAAAAAUGGAUGAAAGAUAAUGUGUUUUUCUGCAGCUUUAUGUUGUUGCCUACAGAUAUAUGUCUAUAUUUUUGUCUCUAAUCCAAAUUCUUACCUUUAUGAGUCUAUUAAAUAUAUAUAUGUAUGUGUAUCCGUUGCUGAUAAAAGAAAUAGAAUUAUCUGAAAAAAUUUCAGAGCAAUGCAUGUUGGUUUCUACCGAGGGUUUCAGUAAGUUUGUAAUACUAGGAAAAUGUUGCUGCCGAUUGAUGGUGUCAGCUAUGGCAGUUGUAGCCGUUUGGCUUUGUGGGUGCUGUGUCAGCUGUUCCUUUUGUAGCUUUAACCGUGCUUCCAGUAAAUGAGAUGAAGCCAAGGUCUUGACAUAGUACCUUUGGAUUGUUUUGGUCCUGCUUUAAAAUGGCUCUUGUUUGGUCUGUGUAUGGUCCAAAAUGUCACAGUUCAGCUGUGUCGUAUGAACCAUCAGAAUUCAGAAGAUUAUUUCUAGUGGUUAUGAACUACUCUAUUAUUAGCUAA